This 4511-nucleotide long non-coding RNA is filed under the name Cinara cedri. The record is from RNAcentral. Lineage: Eukaryota; Metazoa; Arthropoda; Insecta; Hemiptera; Aphididae.
AAUAAAUCGAAAUUUACGACGGACCGUGUGGGCCGGGGACACGACGAUAAUAACAAUAAUAAUAAUAAAACAUUACGUAAACGUGAAAAAAAUAGAUGCGCGUGUAUAUAACUAUAGUGUUACGCCCGCAACAGAAUAAAACAAAUUCUGCCCCAAGUUUACCGGGCACGUACCCGAUUUUUUUUUUUUUCUUCGCGAGUUUUGCGCUUUUCGUAAUACUUCGGUUAUUGGUAUUGUACCGCAGUACGGUUCGUUUUCCGUGGACACACGGAGAAUGCCAGCGGACUGCCGAAAAAAUGUAUCCGUAAACACCUGCAUCUAUUUUUGCCACGCGUACAUAACGAUAACAUAAAAAAAAUAUUAUCAAAACAUUCGCAACUUAGAAUUAUUGUGUCGCGUACCCACGAUAAUAGUAAUAAUAAUAAUACGGGAUGAUCGGUUUUCCGCGGUGCGCUACGACUGCGCGUACCUUUACAAAAAAAUGUCUCGAAAAGUGUCCAUUACCGUUUUUUCGGAAUUCGCUUUUUGGCCAAUUUAAGAUAAUAAUAUUUGCGUGCGUGCGUAUACGUACCUACUUCUAAAAUUUCGUUGCGUUCUAAACCGUAACGCGUUAUUCUCAGGACCGCGUGUACCUCACCUAGAUAAUAUAAAUCAAAUUUUCCCAAAAAGAAUUCCGAACGAAUCGAAUACAAAGUCGGAGUGUCUCGCGGAAAAUCGCGAUCACUCUGUAUAAUAUUAUUAUUAUUAUUGUCACAUAUUGUCGCCCGCUUGACCGCCGUCGUUUUGUCGCGGCUCUGCCGUCGAGCCGUCCGCCGCCGGAUCGUCGACCCGAUAAUAAGGGAUUUUAAAACUCAUUUACUUCCACGAUAUUAUAAUAACAAUAAUAAAUAGUCGUUAUAUUAUAUUAUACGAGGAACAAUAUUUUUAUAUAAGUUUUAUAAGCGCGUUGAAUUAAAAAAAAAAAAUUAUUAAUAAAUAACAAUAAUAAUAUUAUUACUAUUAUUUAUAUUAUCUUCGUGUGCGAGUAUUCGAAAUAUUUCCGUGUCCGGGUGAAAAACUGAAGUCUGCAAUACGGGUACUCUGAAUCUUUUUCCAGAAGUAUAAGUAUACAAUUAUGUAUCCUUGGUUCCAGGAAAGGACUUAUCUGAGUUAAUUUUGUGUAGUUUUCAAUACGAGCAAAUUAAAUGUUGAGAAUUGUUAAAUGGCUAAAUUGCUACUAUAAUUAUGACUAACGCCUUUUUUGCCAAACAAAAAGUAUAUGGUGACUAAGUACUUUAAUUUUCACCAUUUUAGUCACUCGUGACUUAUUGUCAUUUACGCCAAAAAAUAAUGGGAAAAAUUACAUAAGACAAAAUUUUAGAAAAAAAAAAUACCAAAAAUUGACGUGGGACCAAAGAUACGAGAUAUUUUAUGAAUUUUCCAAAAACAAGCUUAAACAUUUGAUCCUAUUCGACCCAAUCAGAAAUAUUUUGUAACUGGUACUUAAUAAUUUAAAUAAAUAAAUUAUUAAUUAAAAAUAUUCUCUGGCGUUCGGUGAAAAAUUAUGAACGUUAUUCUUUUAAAUAUUUUCGUAUAUUAUCAAAAUGCUAGAUAUACACAAUUUCACGGAUACAGUGUGUAUUGUAAUAAUAAAAUUAUUAGGUAUUAUUUAUCUGUAAUCUGUGGUAUUUGAUUUUCAUAAUGUUUCAUGGUUAUUCGGUGUCUUUUAUUAUUAUACAGGUGUUUUACAGCUAGUGUUAUCCGUAUGCUGAUAACUCUAUCAAUAUUCAAUUUUUUUUUUUUUUUCAAUCGGGUUUUGCUCGAGAGGUCACACGUUUGGAGAAAAAUAAAAUGAAUAAAAUAAAAUUGCAUCUCUUAAUCACCGAAUGAAAGUAUAAAUUUAAUUUUUCUUUACAUACUUGUGUAUACACUCGCACAAAACCUGAUUAAAAAAAAAAUAAUAAUGAAUAUUGCCAAAAUUAUUAGUAUACGAAUAACAUUGUAGGACACUCUGUAUAAAGCACUUAAUCUCAAUAAUAUACCUAUUUUAAUAAAUAUUUUUGGAUAUUCUGGACAUUCUCGAUGACGAUUACCCGAACGGAAAUAGGUUAUACAAAUAAAGAGAAAUAUAUACAAAACAGCAACAAACUUAAUAUUUCGAACUCGUAUACAUCCAUCCUCCUCCAAAAAAAAAAAAAAAAAUAAAAAAAUAAAAAAAAAAAUAAAUUAUAUACUACUAUAUCUAAAUGUAUAAUUAUUAUUAUUACUAUUAUAUAAAUUAACUUUAUACUAUACAACAAUUCCACGAACAUAUACUUGUUGCGAUAUCUCCCGAGAUAAUGAAGAUAAUCAAAUACUUAUGUGGAUAAAAAAUAUUCAUAUUUCAAUUAAAUCUCUGCGAUAGAAAAAAAUAUAAAUGUAAUAACCUUUUAUUCUAUUACUUUCAACAAAUUAGCCAGUUUAUAGAGUUUAGCUAUUCUCUGAACAUUUGAACGGUUUGACUAUUUAAUUUCAUUAACAUUAUGAUAUUUAAUAGUUUUUUAGUUUACAGAAAAAUAGUGUUUAAAGCCUUAUUAAUUAAUUAAAGCCUUAAUAGUGUUUUAAAAUGAUCUCAUCUCGUUUUUUUUUUUUAUUAAAAAUCUAUUACGUAAUAUUAAAAGAUUUUUAUGUUUAAUAUAGGACAUAGAUAAUUUUUAUCAUUUUUCUGUAAACUUUUUUUAAAAUUAUAUAAGAAAUAUUCAUAAAUGCAUACAAUAAGUAGAUGCCUACAUAUAAUAUGAGUCAGGGAAUAAAAAACAGUAUUGGGGUUUCAAGAGGGUAAGUUAUUCUUUUUUUAAACUAUAGUUAAAACUGAGUUACUUUAAUCUAAAAACUAACCAACUAAUAAAAUACUGUUAAGUAGAAUAGAAGUUAUUUUUUAAAAUGUUCUAAAUUCCUAACUUAGUUAGAUGUUAGUUAAUGAUAAUAAGUAACUUAAGUUAAAAUAAAAGUUAAAAGUCAGUUAGGCGUUUUUUCAUAAUUUAAAAACCGGAACGAAAUUAUUGGUAAUAACUGAUAGUGCAAUGAUUUAAUUAAAUUGGUAGUUUAAUCAAAAUGUUCGAAAGAACAAAUUCUAUAAUAGACAUCUUCAAAUAUAUUUCAAAAAUAAUUUAAAAUAAAGUCAUUUUUUACCAAAACUUAAUUCAAAUAUCAAUAUAUUUGUAGUUCUUACCUCUGUAAAUUGUGUAAUUAUGAUAAUAUAAAUUUUAUAAUUAUGUAUAAACAUAAAAAAAGUUACAGAUUUUGAUUAUUUUGAUUAUCCCAGGAGAUGUAGAAAUGGAAAUGGGUAGAGUUAUAUCUUCGUGGGACACUGUAUAUUAUGAUAUAAUUAAUUUUAUUACAUUGUAAUAUACAUAUACUAUAGCAAGUAAGAGACAUGAUUUUAUAAUAAUUUAUUUAAUAAAUACUAAUAUUUGGCGCAUAUACAAGCGCAAGGAUAGAGUAAUAGCUAGGUAUUUUUUUUUUUUUUUUUUUUUUAAAUAAUAUAAUAUAUGAAUAUUAAAAAAGAAAAACCAUUCUGAAAUUUAACAGUUUUUAUACAAAAUGUUACUCAAAACUAUUACUAUAACAUAACAUUGUACAACAAUAAUAGCUAGGUACCUAUAUAUGUGUAUACUUAUUUUAUAAAACUGCUAUUUAAUAUAAUAUAUUUUUACAUUUAAUAUUAUAUGAUAUUAGGUGUAGAAAAAAAAAAAAAAUUCUGUGUGUGAUGAAUAUAUUUUAAUUUACAUUUCAAAAUAAUAUUACAUAAAUAUAAUAUACUGUGUAGUGAUACGUAGGGAUAUUAAAAUAUUGAGCUGUUGAAAUAUUAAUAUUAUAUUGUUUUCAUAUCGUUAUAAUAUUAUGUGGUAUUUAUGUGACGAUUCUCAUCGUUAUAAUAAUAUUAUGGAUCGAUUAUAUUAAGACAAUAAUACAUAAUAUUUAUUAUUAAAAUUAUUUUAAUAUUAUAUAUCAUAUCCGAGAGCACCCAUAUUAUGUAAAGAGCGAAGCGAAAAUAUUGACAAAGUAUUAACCAUGAUACCAUUCUAUACAUAUUAUUAUAAUGGUAGUGAAAAUUUGAAAUUCAAUUCCGAAGGCCGCAGUUUGUAAAACAAUAAUAAUAAUAAUUUAUUUUACGCGUAAGAUUAAAUGAAUUAAGAAUAAAAAAAAAAUACAUACAUAAAUAUAUUAAUAUUACGAUACAAUAUACUAUAGUUAGUGUGAAUUAUAAUAAUUAUGGUACUUACCUACCAAUAUAAUAUAUAUUAUUUAAUAAGAUUUAAGUUUUCUAUUGUGAUUUUUUUUUUUUUCAAAUUUUCAGUGUUAUUAUUAUAAUUAUUAUAAUAUUAUAACAUAGGUACAUAUAAUAGGUAAUGUUAUACCUAUAUACCUUUUAAGAGGCGUGUGAUUUAUUUAUAUAAUAAUGUGUUGAUUAGUACAUAAAAUAAUAUUCAAAUAUUGUGUGCUAUUAUAAUACACUAUACAUUUACUAUUUUGAAUAAAUUGUCGUUCCC